AUGCAACUAAGAAAAAGAAAAGGAACAAGUUAUGACUUAGGAACAACAGAUUGCAGAAAAGACCAAUGCAUUCUCAAAUUAUUUGCUCCUUCUGAGCUAAAAACUCCCUGCGGAGCAAAUGGUCGAGAUGGCCGUAGGAAGGAACACACUAAAACAUGUCAAGAAAAGUGCAUUGGUAAAAACAAAACAAAAAGAAAAUAUAGGAACAACCAGGACGGGGUUAAUGGUUUGGGAGCUGAGAGAGUUGAUGGGAGGGACAACCGGAGAAGCAAACCUAGCAGAAAUUCGCAUCUGCUUUUCCAAGAUGAUGUGCUGCUCGGUGGAUGA
This 327-nucleotide ribosomal RNA is filed under the name Triticum aestivum (bread wheat). Its description in RNAcentral is "partial small subunit ribosomal RNA". Lineage: Eukaryota; Viridiplantae; Streptophyta; Magnoliopsida; Poales; Poaceae. The record is from RNAcentral.